Molecule: unclassified non-coding RNA, 85 nt
Filed under: Spiroplasma sp. crk
Lineage: Bacteria; Bacillati; Mycoplasmatota; Mollicutes; Entomoplasmatales; Spiroplasmataceae
Source: RNAcentral
ACUAUUGCUAAUCAAUUUAUAGCAUGAUAGUUUGAUGUUUAAAUCUAGUUUUUAGAGAAUAAUUACAUAAGCAAAAAAAUAUAUU